RNAcentral lists this ribosomal RNA (340 nucleotides) under uncultured bacterium. Its description in RNAcentral is "partial 16S ribosomal RNA". It matches the Rfam family "Bacterial small subunit ribosomal RNA", at positions 338 to 695 of the family's 1533-position model. The record is from RNAcentral.
CCUACGGGUGGCAGCAGUGGGGAAUAUUGCACAAUGGGGGAAACCCUGAUGCAGCGACGCCGCGUGAGUGAAGAAGUAUUUCGGUAUGUAAAGCUCUAUCAGCAGGGAAGAAAAUGACGGUACCUGAUUAAGAAGCCCCGGCUAACUACGUGCCAGCAGCCGCGGUAAUACGUAGGGGGCAAGCGUUAUCCGGAUUUACUGGGUGUAAAGGGAGCGUAGACGGCAGCACAAGUCUGGGGUGAAAGGCCGGGGUUUAACCCAGGAACUGUUUUGGAAACUGUGCAGCUAGAGGGCAGGGGAGGUAGGGAGAACUCGUGGUGGAGCGGGAAAAGGAGUAGAU